GAGAUAGUGGCAGUUGACCCAUUAUCAUUCACUGGAUCUUGAUUUUUUUCAAACCAUUUCCAUUUAUUUGUGUUGUUGCUGUUCAAACUUAGAUUGGAGAUAGCUUUAGCUUUGGUUGAUUGAAGGAGAUCUAUGGAUUUUGCAGAUAAAAAAGACGGGAGAGUGAAGAGAGAAGAAAACACUUUUUAUUUUAUUUUUAAAAAAGUAACAAUUAUUUAAGUGCUGUCAAAA
Molecule: long non-coding RNA, 231 nt
Filed under: Trifolium pratense (red clover)
Lineage: Eukaryota; Viridiplantae; Streptophyta; Magnoliopsida; Fabales; Fabaceae
Description: long non-coding RNA (TPRA_LNC007887)
Source: RNAcentral